Molecule: ribosomal RNA, 377 nt
Filed under: uncultured alga
Lineage: Eukaryota
Description: SSU rRNA
Rfam family: Eukaryotic small subunit ribosomal RNA
Source: RNAcentral
AGCUCCAAUAGCGUAUAUUUAAGUUGUUGCAGUUAAAAAGCUCGUAGUUGGAUUUCGGGUGGGUAGCAAUGGUCCGGUUCGCUGUGUACUGUUGCUGCCUAUCUUUCUGCCGGAAAUGGGAUCUUAGGCUUUACUGUCUGAGACCUGGAGUCGGCGAGGUUACUUUGAGUAAAUUAGAGUGUUCAAAGCAAGCUUACGCUCUGAAUACAUUAGCAUGGAAUAACACAAUAGGACUUCGGCCUAUCUUGUUGGUCUGUAGGACUGAAGUAAUGAUUAAGAGGGAUAGUCGGGGGCAUUCGUAUUUCAUUGUCAGAGGUGAAAUUCUUGGAUUUAUGAAAGACGAACUUCUGCGAAAGCAUUUGCCAAGGAUGUUUUCA